CCGGCCGAGAGCCGCUUCUCCGGCAUGUCCUCGGGGCACCCGCUGCCCGACCCCGCUGUCGGGGAGCGACCGGCGCCUCGCGCCGCGGCCUGGAGCUGCCCGCUGCCGCGCGUCCAGGGUUGCCAUGGAGCCGGACAAUGAGAGGCUGGGCUGGGGGUGGCGGCCGGGGAAUGGCCGUUACUGUGGAGACCGCUGCGCUCCCAGGAGGAAAGGCCGCCAGGGCGAAGGGGACUCACCCACGAGAAAGGACCUGAGAGCCAGGCCCCAGUUUUCUUGGUAGAGCCACACAGGUUGGUCAGACGCCUGUGGCAAAAGGCUUGACAGUGUGGUAAGCUCACUGCUUGAGCUUACCGGGCAAUGCUUCCAAGACCAACGCCGAAAAUGAACCGCUCCACCGCACCCUAUCACCCCACACCCCAUCCCCAAAGCGGAUCUCCGAGCUUCCAUCUUCUGGCCAGGGUUGUGGCAAAGACCCCCAAAGCCCUCACUAGGAAGGUGGAGGCAAAAUGAUCAGGAGUUUAAGGCCAGCCUGGGCUACAUGAGAACCUGUCUCAACUAAAACACAUCAGAUAAUACAUCUCUUAAGCCAGAAA
Long non-coding RNA from Peromyscus eremicus (cactus mouse), 593 nucleotides. RefSeq lists it as uncharacterized. The transcript has 2 exons. Lineage: Eukaryota; Metazoa; Chordata; Mammalia; Rodentia; Cricetidae. The record is from RefSeq and is a predicted model, not a curated record.